UUAUUAUGGGUUAGUAUAAUUGGUUCAAUGGGUAGAAAUAUGUUUAGGUUGAAAUCCCUAAUUUUAUGGUUUUGAAAUUGUUAAGUUUUGAUGAGUAAUCUUUGAUUUGUGAUGUUUAAUUGCGUUUGGAAUGGAUAUAUGGAUGAAAUUGAUCAAUGGGUAGAAAUAUGUUUAGGUUGAAAUCCCUAAUUUUAUGGUUUUGAAAUUGUUAAGUUUUGAUGAGUAAUCUUUGAUUUGUGAUGUUUAAUUGCGUUUGGAAUGGAUAUAUGGAUGAAAUUGAGGGAUAGAUUGAGAAACCACUUAGUUUAUUAAAUUUCAUUACAGUAAUGGUAACAUUAAGAAAAAUUCUGUGUUCGUGUUAAC
Molecule: long non-coding RNA, 363 nt
Filed under: Lathyrus oleraceus (garden pea)
Lineage: Eukaryota; Viridiplantae; Streptophyta; Magnoliopsida; Fabales; Fabaceae
Description: Pisum sativum (pea) long non-coding RNA (PSAT_LNC008932)
Source: RNAcentral